GCUGUUGGCAUCUGGCACUGUGAUUCCUCCGUGAAAACGGUGGCUGGUGGGAUCUGGGCCUACAACAUCUCUUCUGCUGUCACAGUGAAGUCUGCC
Molecule: microRNA precursor, 96 nt
Organism: Cricetulus griseus (Chinese hamster)
Lineage: Eukaryota; Metazoa; Chordata; Mammalia; Rodentia; Cricetidae
Source: Ensembl